Copidosoma floridanum is the source of this 384-nucleotide long non-coding RNA. The record is from RefSeq and is a predicted model, not a curated record. Lineage: Eukaryota; Metazoa; Arthropoda; Insecta; Hymenoptera; Encyrtidae.
CCACUAGUCUUUUGUAGCAACAUGUCUAGUAAAGUAGUGAUGGUUAUACUUGUCACGAGUAUUUUAUGGUUUUCAAGUACAGUUCAUGUUUGUUCCACUGCACUGAUUGAAGAUAGUGACAAGUUCUAUGUAAAUUUUUGUGUUAACAGCAGUAAUAAUACCAGUUAUAAUGACAGUGUCAAUGAUUGCAGUGAUAAGUUAAUAUCGAGUAAUCUUCUGGUAACAAGCGAACGUAUUCUUUAUGGUCGAUUUGGCUUCCACGGCAUUAGAGAAUUCAACCGAAUAAUUAUGUUAUAAUGGUGAUUACAAGCAGUAUAACACAAUAUCCAUUUACAACAGCAUCCCAAACAUAAAUGGAUCAACGACUUAUGAGCUGACUUUGGA